RNAcentral lists this ribosomal RNA (860 nucleotides) under uncultured eukaryote. RNAcentral describes it as "bacterial SSU rRNA". It matches the Rfam family "Eukaryotic small subunit ribosomal RNA", at positions 142 to 1043 of the family's 1831-position model. The record is from RNAcentral.
GAUAUCUGUGGUAAUCCUACAGUUAAUACGUAUCACUUUUUAACAAAGUGUUGCAUAUUACUGUGGAUAUUCGGCGAAUUUCGGUUCGUCUGGCUCGAAUACUUUUAUGCACGAAUCGCAUUUCCAUGCGAAAGUCCAUCAAAGUUUCUGACCUAUCAGGUUCCGACGGUAGGGUAUUGGCCUACCGUGCCGAUAACGGGUAACGGGGGAUUAGGGUUUGAUCCCGGAGAGGGAGCCUGAGAGAUGGCUACCACAUCUAAGGAUGGCAGCAGGCGCGUAAAUUACCUAUCCCUGACUCAGGGAGGUAGUAAACAGAAAUAAUGACGCAUGAUUUUAAUCGUGUGAUCGGAAUGAAUGGUUUCUAAACAAAACCAUGAAAUCAAUUGGAGGGCAAGUCUGGUGCCAGCAGCCGCGGUAAUACCAGCUCCAAUAGCGUAUAUUAUUGAUGUUGCAGUUGAAACGUUCGUAGUCGAUUUUAAUCGGCUGUUGGGUUUUGUUUUCUCUCGAGAUUACACACCUUUUUGAGCUGAGAGGGUAUGAAAGGUUCAUAGACGUCUGCGUCGAGUUCCUUUCAUAUGUUACUUUGAGUGAAUCGGCGUGUUCCACGCAGGCUUUUGCCUGAACGAUUUACCAUAGUAUAAUGAAGUUAUGGUGACUCCUUUUGGUUUAUCCGAAGGUGUUUUCUAUAACAAUGAGAACGGCUGAGGCAUUUGUAUUCAACUGCUAGAGUGAAAUUCUUUGAUCAGUUGAGGACAAACAAUUGCGAAAGCAUCUGCCAAGGGCGUUUCUGUCGAUCAAGAACGAAAGUUGGGUGACCGAAGAUGAUUAGAUACCGNUGUAGCCCCAACUGUAAAGUUACU